Molecule: ribosomal RNA, 253 nt
Filed under: uncultured bacterium
Lineage: Bacteria
Description: partial 16S ribosomal RNA
Rfam family: Bacterial small subunit ribosomal RNA
Source: RNAcentral
GACGAACCGUGCGACCGUUGUGCGGAAUCACUGGGCUUAAAGGGCGCGUAGGCGGCUUCGCAAGUCCGGGGUGAAAGCCCACAGCUUAACUGGGGAAGUGCCUCGGAUACUGCGGAGCUCGAGGGAGGUAGGGGCGGAUGGAACUUCCGGUGGAGCGGUGAAAUGCGUUGAUAUCGGAAGGAACGCCGGUGGCGAAAGCGAUCCGCUGGCACUCUACUGACGCUGAGGCGCGAAAGCCAGGGGAGCAAACGGG